Molecule: ribosomal RNA, 449 nt
Filed under: uncultured bacterium
Lineage: Bacteria
Description: partial 16S ribosomal RNA
Rfam family: Bacterial small subunit ribosomal RNA
Source: RNAcentral
AACGAACGCUGGCGGCAGGCCUAACACAUGCAAGUCGAACGCUCUAGCAAUAGAGAGUGGCAGACGGGUGAGUAACGCGUGGGAAACUUCCUAGGGGUACGGAAUAGCUCAGGGAAACUUGGGGUAAUACCGUAUGAUGCCAAGAGGCCAAAGAUUUAUCGCCCUUAGAUGUGCCCGCGUCGGAUUAGCUAGUUGGUGAGGUAACGGCUUACCAAGGCGACGAUCCGUAGCUGGUUUGAGAGAAUGACCAGCCACACUGGGACUGAGACACGGCCCAGAGUCCUACGGGGGGCGGCAGUGGGGAAUCUUGGACAAUGGGCGGAAGCCUGGUCCAGCCAUGCCGCGUGAGUGACGAAGGUCUUAGGGUUGUAAAGCUCCUUUGCCGGGGACGAUAAUGACGGUACCCGGAGAAUAAGUCCCGGCUAACUUCGUGCCAGCAGCCGCCGUAC